GGUCAGGAUGAACGCUAGCUACAGGCUUAACACAUGCAAGUCGAGGGGCAGCAUGAAGUUGCUGCAAACUUGAUGGCGACCGGCGCACGGGUGCGUAACGCGUAUCCAACCUGCCGUGUACUCCGGUAUAGCCCUCUGAAAGGAGGAUUAAUCCCGGAUGUGGUCGCAGGGGGACAUCCCCCCGCGAUUAAAGAUUCUAUCGGUACACCGAUGGGGAUGCGUACGAUUAGGUAGUAGGCGGGGUAACGGCCCACCUAGCCUUCGAUCGUUAGGGUUCUGAGAGGAAGGUCCCCCACACUGGAACUGAGACACGGUCCAGACUCCUACGGGAGGCAGCAGUGAGGAAUAUUGGUCAAUGGUCGGAAGACUGAACCAGCCAAGUAGCGUGAAGGAUGACUGCCCUACGGGUUGUAAACUUCUUUUAUAGGGGAAUAACCGCCGGCACGCGUGCCGGUCUGCAUGUACCCUAUGAAUAAGCAUCGGCUAAUUCCGUGCCAGCCGCCGC
Molecule: ribosomal RNA, 505 nt
Filed under: uncultured bacterium
Lineage: Bacteria
Description: bacterial SSU rRNA
Rfam family: Bacterial small subunit ribosomal RNA
Source: RNAcentral